RNAcentral lists this ribosomal RNA (253 nucleotides) under uncultured bacterium. RNAcentral describes it as "partial 16S ribosomal RNA". It matches the Rfam family "Bacterial small subunit ribosomal RNA", at positions 524 to 776 of the family's 1533-position model. The record is from RNAcentral.
UACGGAGGGUGCAAGCGUUAUACGGAAUCACUGGGUUUAAAGGGUGCGUAGGCGGCUAAAUAAGUCAGAGGUGAAAACUUGCAGCUUAACUGCGAAAUUGCCUUUGAUACUGUAUAGCUUGAAAGGAGCUGAGGUCAGCAGAAUGUGGAAUGUAGCGGUGAAAUGCAUAGAUAUGCCAUAGUAUACCAAUUGCGAAGUCAGCUGGCUGGGCUUACUUUGACGCUGAGGCACGAAAGCGUGGGGAUCGAACAGG